RNAcentral lists this ribosomal RNA (446 nucleotides) under uncultured bacterium. RNAcentral describes it as "partial 16S ribosomal RNA". It matches the Rfam family "Bacterial small subunit ribosomal RNA", at positions 338 to 795 of the family's 1533-position model. The record is from RNAcentral.
CCUACGGGAGGCAGCAGUCGAGAAUCAUUCACAAUGGGGGAAACCCUGAUGGUGCGACGCCGCGUGGGGGAAUGAAGGUCUUCGGAUUGUAAACCCCUGUCAUGUGGGAGCAAAUUAAAAAGAUAGUACCACAAGAGGAAGAGACGGCUAACUCUGUGCCAGCAGCCGCGGUAAUACAGAGGUCUCAAGCGUUGUUCGGAAUCACUGGGCGUAAGGCGUGCGUAGGCUGUUUCGUAAGUCGUGUGUGAAAGGCGCGGGCUCAACCCGCGGACGGCACAUGAUACUGCGAGACUAGAGUAAUGGAGGGGGAACCGGAAUUCUCGGUGUAGCAGGGAAAUGCGUAGAUAUCGGGAGGAACACUCGUGGCGAAGGCGGGUUCCUGGACAUUAACUGACGCUGAGGCACGAAGGCCAGGGGAGCGAAAGGGAUUAGAUACCCCUGUAGUC